Potamilus streckersoni is the source of this 74-nucleotide non-coding RNA. The record is from the annotation of a GenBank genome assembly. Lineage: Eukaryota; Metazoa; Mollusca; Bivalvia; Unionida; Unionidae.
GUCUCCAGUGGCCUAGUGGUUAGAGUGUCUGCUUUGGAUGCUGGAGGUUGUGGGUUCAAUCCCCAGUCGAGUCA